CCUACGGAAGCUGCAGUGAGGAAUAUUGGUCAAUGGACGAGAGUCUGAACCAGCCAAGUAGCCUGAAGGAUGACUGCCCUAUCGGUUGUAAACCUUUUUUAUAAAGGAAUAAAACUAAGCACGUUUGCCUUUUUUCAUUUACUUUAUUAAUAAGGAUCCGCUAACUCCGUGCCAGCAGCCGCGGUAAUACGGAGGCUCCGAGCGUUAUCCGGAUUUAUUGGGUUUAAAGGGGGCGUAGAUGGGUUGUUAAGUCAGUUGUGAAAGUUUGCGGCUCAACCGUAAAAUUGCAAUUGAUACUGGCAGUCUUGAGUACAGUUGAGGUAGGCGGAAUUCGUGGUGUAGCGGUGAAAUGCUUAGAUAUCACGAAGAACCCCGAUUGCGAAGGCAGCUUACUAAACUGUGACUGACAUUGAUGCUCGAAAGUGUGGGUAUCAAACAGGAUUAGAUACCCGUGUAGUC
RNAcentral lists this ribosomal RNA (459 nucleotides) under uncultured bacterium. Its description in RNAcentral is "partial 16S ribosomal RNA". It matches the Rfam family "Bacterial small subunit ribosomal RNA", at positions 338 to 795 of the family's 1533-position model. The record is from RNAcentral.